Long non-coding RNA from Harpia harpyja (harpy eagle), 726 nucleotides. RefSeq lists it as uncharacterized. Lineage: Eukaryota; Metazoa; Chordata; Aves; Accipitriformes; Accipitridae. The transcript has 2 exons. The record is from RefSeq and is a predicted model, not a curated record.
GUCAAGCGCUGCACUCCAGAAAGCCCAGCCUUACCCUCUGUCUCUGCUGCUGCUACUGCUGCAAGCGGGAUAGCUGCUCAUCGCAAAACACCAGUUCAGUCCUCAAAACCGAUCCUCGUUACAUGCCCGAGUGUUGCUGCUGUUGCCUUCUCAAACCCGUGAUCUGUAGUGAUUCUCUCCUACCCUUUCCCUCCCCACCUCCGCUGUAGACUGUGAACCGAGCAACGAUUUUUAAAGCAAAUAUUUAUUCGCUUUUCUUUUAGGCAGAGCUGGUGCACGUUCGGGGCUCUGCAUUUUGCGGAAUCACGCUGCGUCCCUAGUUCGCCUCUCCUUUUGACUUUGCGCCAUUUAAUCGCCUAUGGCUUUUGUAUGCCCCUGCCCCUGCGCCCUGGGUAAUGCCUGGCUCCUGUACCUGUCCUCUCCGCUCGGAUCCCGGAGGGAAAAGACAGAGACUCCGGGGGGCUGCCGGGAGAGGGAGGGUGCAGGCGAGCAUGGGGCAGCCAGUGGGAAGAGAACCGGCGAGUGCGUGCAUGUGUGUGUGUGUGUGCGUGUGUGUGUGCGUGUGCGUGUGCGUGUGCGCAGCGAGGGGGAGGCAGGAAUCCAGCUGCUUUCUCUCCCCCUGAGAACACAUGUGGGAAAACAAGUUGUUGCGGUUUCUGUGUGUGCGUGUGUGCAUUCCUCUUUUUAAAUGGUUAUUUUGGAUAAAGAUGCAUACAGGCGAAUGUA